RNAcentral lists this long non-coding RNA (8056 nucleotides) under Nicotiana tabacum (common tobacco). Its description in RNAcentral is "long non-coding RNA (NTAB_LNC005716)". The record is from RNAcentral. Lineage: Eukaryota; Viridiplantae; Streptophyta; Magnoliopsida; Solanales; Solanaceae.
CAAUACACGUCUAAAUCAUACUAAUCAAACGAGCAACUCCGAAGCAAAUGGAGCACACCAACAUCUUCCGCUGAGUUGAUAGCCUACUUGGAGGACACUCGACCUGUCUAUCGAGACCUGCGCGCAUGAAACGCGUCCCCAGGCAAAAAGGACGUCAGUACGAAUAAUGUACUGACUAUGUAAGGCACAUAAAUAAGUACAUCAGAGACAUGGAAGAAAUAUAGAGUACAUGACUCAACCUGUAAGUCUGAAUAACUUUGUAAAUCAUAAAGUACUGUUAGCGUCAUGUAUAUACGUAUGAAUGUCAUGUCGGGCAUAGGUACAUGUUUCAUAACAUCAUCAUCCUCUGAGGGCAUCCCAUCAUAUUAUAUCGGCCACUGUGGAAAAAAUCAUCAACGUAUGCCAGCUGAUCAGGUGGUGGUGCGUAUAUAACGCCAUAACCUUUCCCAUAUCCCAUAUACAUAUAUAUACAUACAUAUAUACGCGUAUAUAAUGCCAUUUGAAUCAUAUUUCAGCCACUGUGGGCAACAUCAUCAUCAUAUACCAACUGAUCAGGUGGUGGUACGUAUAUAACGCCAUAACCUUUUUCCAUAUCCCAUAUACAUAUAUUUACAUAUAUACACGUAUAUAACGCCAUCUAGUCAUGGGUCAAUGCACAUGUAUGAAAUAUAUGAAAAAUACGCAAUAAUCUCAAUAUUCUUUCCGGAUAGAUUUUUCCAACUGUGUAUUAUUCUGAGACCCACGAGCAGAAGAUAAUAAUAUUUUUCAUGGGGAAUCAAAAAUAUAGACACCCCUACUAUUUCUAUGAAUAGAGUAAUUUAUGGAAACUGUGUGUUUGCUCGUUUCUUCAGUUGUUUGCUCGUUUCUUCAGUAUCAUAUGGACCAUGCCAAAAGAAAGAAGGGAGGGCCUUAACAUACCUGUUCCUGAAAUUAUUUAAACGGAAUGAAGCUUCUGCUUUCGUGAAAUAUGUCGAACAAAAUUCUGACUGAACCCUUUGAAACUGAGAGGAAAACGUUUCUGGUUCUUUGAGUUUUAGAAGGAAUAACAUUUGGAUUCCUUAUGAUUCACAUUGGAUUUGAAUGUUGGACAAAAUGGUUUGCUUCUAACAUCUUUGGUUUGAAUCCGAAGACAGAAUGUGGUUUCCUAAUGAAUGGCUUACUAAGUUUCCAAAAGAAAUGAUCAAAAGUCUUGUUUAAAACUUAUGGAUAAGACUUUAAAAGUCUUAUUUAUGACUUGUCUUACACGUCCUUGUCUUUGAUAAGACUUUUCAAGUCUUAUUUAAGACUUAUCUUAAGACUAAUCUUGAGUCAUGGUGGCUUUGGCCAUAUGGCAUAUAAUGAGUACUUACAUUGCCACAUGGUAUGAUGACUAAUGAGUCAUUUUUGUCAUGGUGGCUUUUUGCCACAUUUUAGAUGGGUAUAUUUUAUAAAUUUUUAUCCACUUAUUAGUUAAUUGGAAAAUAUCUUAUUACCCGGUAAUUAAUCAAUUACCCGCGUAACUUAAAAAUUGUCUCAACUUAAUUAAAUACUACUCUCUUUUAUACACCUUAUUAUCAUGGCCAUGUGGUACCUUGUAUGUCACUAGUCCAUAAAUACUGGGUAUUUUAGCUCGGGCCAUAUUUUAUCCCAAAAUACCAAAUUUCAAUGAAAUUCAUUUUCUUCGACUUGCUUCCCUUCUCACCUUCACAAAUUUAUUCAUCACUUACAAUCCUUAUAAUCUCCAAAUAAUAUUUUCCUUGGACUAAUGUCAAUUACCUUACAACAAAUUUCAACGCACAAUACUACAGGGUGCAACAUCGUCGUAACUUAAUACUGCAAGGCGUAACAUCACCGUAAUGUAAUACUGCUGGGUGCAACACUAUCGUAACUUAAUACUGCGAAGCGUGACAUCACCGUAAUGUAAUAGUGCUGGGUGCAACACUGUCGUAACUUAAUAAUGUGAAGAGUGACAUCACCGUAAUAUAAUACUACUGGGUGCAACACUGUCGUAACUUAAUACUACAGAGCGUGACAUCACCGUAAUGUAUUACUGUAAGGCAUAACAUCAUCGUAAUAUUUUACUGCAGGGCAUAACACCAUCAUAAUAUAUUACUGCAAAGGGUAACACCAUCAUAACAUAUUACUGCAGAGUAUAACAUUGUCGUAAUAUAAUACUGUGAAACGUAAUAUUGUCGUAAUAUUGCGGGGCGUAACAUCAUUCCCCCUUUGGAACAUUCGUCCUCGAAUGUUAACUGAUGCUCUUAUCAUUUUCAUAACUUAUAGCUCUUGUGAAUACAUUAAUACUCUUCUUGCCAUUUAAGCAGUUGCUCUGUGAAUAAAUCCAAAGUCUAGGGUAUUCCCCCCUUUAGUCUUUUUGCUCAUAUCAUGAUAUGUAGUCGAAAUCUUCCUAAUCUUGAAACUUCUAUUACCUCCUAUCAUGCAACCUAUAUGGCCCUGGCUUUAUAGGUGCACUUAUGCGAUUCAUCUUUCCUUUUUCCUUUUAUCUUUUAGUCAAUCUCUAAGCCUUACUUUGUAUAUACAAGGCUUAAUAGGAUGCCUCUCNNNNNNNNNNNNNNNNNNNNNNNNNNNNNNNNNNNNNNNNNNNNNNNNNNNNNNNNNNNNNNNNNNNNNNNNNNNNNNNNNNNNNNNNNNNNNNNNNNNNNNNNNNNNNNNNNNNNNNNNNNNNNNNNNNNNNNNNNNNNNNNNNNNNNNNNNNNNNNNNNNNNNNNNNNNNNNNNNNNNNNNNNNNNNNNNNNNNNUGGGUUAUACUAUACCAUAAUUUUUGCUUCAAUCUACAUUUACUGAGGUAUGUUUACCAAGUUCCUAGUUACUUUUGUUGCCUACCUUUUAUGUAUAAAUCUCACUCCUUCAAUUCCCCUUCAUUACCGUUCGUCUUAAGAAUCAUGGCCUAAUCUCAUGUCAUACUUUGUAACUUAUAUCUGAUCAUUGUGGAUUCACCUCAAUGUUGAUCUAUAAUCCUUUACUUGAAGACUUGAAACAUCUUACGUAAUACAUUACCGCUAGGGCUUACGCUGUAUUGAGGAAUAUUUGAAGUGAUUUCCAUAAUCAUAUUUCAUAGUGUCUCAAUGUGAUUCACCUUAUGGGGUAUCUUGAUUUUGUGCCGCCAACAAAUUUUUUUUCUCAUUCUCUUCUUCUAUUUUCUCUUUUUUUAAUCAUUAUUCAAACGAAGGCCCAAACGUCAUCCUUUAGCUGUCACAAUUUUCCCUCAUUUUAUUACUAGGUCAACAUUUCAUUCUUUCUAAAUGCUAUUAAUCUUAGAUUACUUUGAGUUCAUUUAGGCUAUACUGAACUUUCAAUAACUUAGAGAAACCAUUAUCUCUCUUGUUUUCAUGGACUUAAUCCUGAUGACUUAUCUAUUCUCGUCACCUUUUCACUUGUCACUCUACCAUACUUUUGCUUGCUACCUAUAAAUAUCCAUUUAUAAUACUCGCUACUUUCCUUCAACUUGCUUGCACCAUAGAUUUCCUUAUGUUAUUCUAGAACGUCAAGCGAUACAUCACAUCAUCUCCAACUCUUCUCUACUCUCUUGACUAGAUCUCUCAGUACUUAGAAACCAUAGGUUGGAAGACAUGCCACUGACGAUGCUGCUAUCAUUCCCAGUUAUUGGAUCCCCGUGCUUAUAACCUUCUAUCCGAAAUAUGGACAAUUCACAACUUUUUGCAUUUGAGUAUCUCGUACGUUGUUCACUUUUACCUUAAAAUCUCGUAUCAUAUCUUUUAUCUCUUUCAUAACCUCCCUUCCACCUAGGUGUAAUUCAUGUACAUAACUUGAAGCUCUAUUAUAAUACUCGCACCUUUGGUACAUACACAAUCCAGUGAGAGCUUCGUACUGACUUCUUAUGAGCUAGUACUUCUUCUAACUGGCUUCCUUGUAGAGGCAUUAUAGAUUAUGGUUGUUGUGUUAUUUCUCUUGAACAUCUGAUAUUAAGAGUGAUUCUGUCAUGCUCUCCAACACAACUUUUAUAAUUUUUCUAGGUCCAAUAAUCAGAUUCCUGAUUUACUUAGGUGAUGUAAUUCUUUAGUUUCCUCUUCCUUCUGAUCAGCCUUUAUGUAGGCUUAAGCUAUCUUUCGAUAUGUGGUUCAUGGUAUCAGUUAUUACCUUAGCCUUUCAUGGGCGUUAUGGAAUAUCCAUGAUAUAGUAUUCCAACAAUUCAAUCCUUUGUCUAUGCCCUGGGAUCAAUUCUUUCUUUUAACUUAUACUAGAGUCUUCUAUGGCUGUAUGAUUGUCAACAAAUAUGCUGCCUGGAUAAUGCUCCAAAAUCUUGAGUGUAUCCAUAACGUGCUAACUCUGGAUCAUUGAUCAAAUAAUUCUUUUGUUCCAUCUUAGCUUUCUUUCAAUGUAAGCUAUUACUUUUCCUUGUCUUUAUGCCCCCUCAAUGCGUCCAUACUUAGCUUAUCUUAGUGUCCACACUUGCCAGAGUUUUCAUACAACUUAUAUGAUCUCGAAUAUUACUUUUAAUUCUUACUUCCCAUUCAUUAGCCACGGUAGGUUCCACUUUCCUUUGGAAUGCUUACAAUGUUGUUGUGAGAUUGUUGUUACACGAUCAUUUCCUCUUUAGGUAGUUGUGCUUAGGUUGAAGCCUUCUUUCUUAUCUUCUCAUCUAGUCUUUCGUUGUAGUACUUAGGGAGAACCCUUGACUCUCAUAAAGCUGUGAGCUUAUUACGAACCUUUUUGAUGUCCUUACUUGCCUAUAAUCAUCCGUAGUUGCUUACUUCCAUGCCCUUGUGCUUGUAUGGUUGCUUCUGAACUGAUAUUUUGACUGCCUUCCUAGCGGCACUUUCUCUUAUCCCCUUAACACUCAUACGAUACCUUUAACUACCCUGACUCUUGUUUGAAUAUAUCUCAAGUAUUAUAAUGGUAUUCUCCGAGGCUGAAUUCUCCAUGUUAGUUUCUACUAUGUUUAUCUUACACGAUCUGAUGACUCAUCUGUAACCUCGUGUUUAGCCAUAAUUGGGUUCUUCCGAACCAAUUACUAACUACUCAUUGGCCCAUUCUCACAUCAAUAUUCCUCAUAAUCUUUCUUGGGUUAUUUACUUUGUUUUAACUUACGUCUCGCACUGGCUCCUUAUUUAUUAAUAACAACUCAGGCAGGAAACUUUACUUCCUUUAAUCAUUCCAUAUUCCCCCCUUUAAGGGAGUACUAAGAGUUGGAGCUACGAUGACCUGCCUAUAGAUGUUUCAUCUUUUCAUCUUUGGCAUCCUUUCACAUCAUUGAUGACCCUUACUCGCCUUGCGGUAAUCCUUUCGUACCAAGGAUAGCAAAAUUCCUUACUCACAAGGGUGAAACUUAGUAUAACUGGCACAUACAGUUCCUUAGGCCGAACUUUGCUCACAUUGCUUGCUGUAGGGAAGCGUCUUUCUGAAUGACCAUUAUCUGAAUUUAUCGUGAAUCUUCUUUUGUCGUCCAUUCUAUUAUUGGCGGAACAAAAUCUGAAAUUCUUAUGAUGGCGACUAUCAUCAGUCACUCAGUCCCUAAUUCAUGUUUUGUUUAUCUUGUUCACCAAUCCAUACUAGUUCUAUUACUCUAGGGUCUAAAUUUUCUUCUUACGCUAGAGUUGUGAACUUAUUUCUCGAAAUGAGGACAUGAUUGUAUGACCUAUACUCUUUUGUUGUCCUAAGGCCUGUCACUUCUCGUCUCUUCCUUCAUUUGACUAUGGGUUCUGUAAUACUCUACCGUUUUCAUCCAUGUAUCACACCUUAUUCAUAAUGUUUCCUUAUCUCUCUUCUCAUUACUCUGCUAAUAUUUCUGCAUAUCCCUUUUCUUAUGAAAACUUCAAUAUGACAUUCUUUCGCUUUUAGCUUUCCUUUCCUCUAUCCAGUGGCUCUUCAAGUUGCUUAAUGUUCUCGCUUACUAGGGACACGAGCAACACUAAGGUAAUAUUUAUCCCUUCAAUGCUUAUAGUGCAUGUCUUUGUAGUACUCAUAUCUGGUUGCACUAUUUUAUAGUGCACCAUAUAGGUGUCUCAUAAAGAGAUCUAUUAGCACAUUUGCAAUAUCCUUGGGAAAUGUCAAUUGACGCAAUCAAUUCAUCCAUCAUAUCUUCUUAUACUACUUUUGUUAACCCUCAUAGGGCAUAUCUGGAAGGGGUGCGACCAAUUGUAUAUACCUAUAUUUUUAUUGAAUAUAACUCAAAAAGAUUAUGUUCCUCUGCCUCAAUUAUAAGCGUUGUUAACCUUCAUUAACUGGGUACCUCGUACCCUUUUUCACCUUGCUCCUUUUGCUUGCUGAAACUUGUACGUAUAUUCUUAAUCUCUCAUUGUUCUUUACCAUAAAGAUGGAUAGGCAUUCUUGCCUUAAGGCUUCUUAUUAGGAAUCUUAUACCUUUCAAUACACCCAUGAUCUGCUAAAGACCUCAUAUUUACUUAUCGUAGGCAUCAUACAAAAAUCAAAUUCCUCCGACUCAGCUCUUCCACAAUUAUCUUUCUUUCCAACCUUCUUUUCGGAUGUAGACAUCGUCUUAUUACGAAUAAAAUAGAAUUUUGGAAGUUGAAUUCUUAUAAGUGAGCUCUACCACACGAUCUAGAGUAAGAAGAAAGAGUGACAAUCCUAAAUGCCCUAUAGCCUCUGCUUAUAAGUGGUGCACAACACACUCACAAACAAGACUCUACUAGACACGACUUGUAGACUCCCUAGGACAGAACUACUCUAAUACCAAUUUUGUCACGACCCAAACCGAUGGGCCGCGAUGGGCACCCAGUACCUUACUCAAACGUGUACCAACGUAAUGUAUCUUUCUUAUUACAUCAUCAUAUACACAUGACAUACGAGCCUAAUAGGCCAACAUGAUCCUUUAAAAACUCAAAAUAUAGGCCGACAAGGCCGUACAAUCUUUUAUGUACACAACAUAUGUCUACAAGCCUCUAAGAGUACGUAAAUGUCAUAAAGGUUGGGAUAGAAUCCCGCCAUACCAAACAAUACACGUCUAAAUGAUACUAACCAAACGAGCAACUCUGAAGCAAAUGGAGCGCACCAACAUCUUCCGCUGAGCUGAUAGCCUACUUGGAGGACUCUCGACCUGUCUAUCGGGACCCGCGGGCAUGAAAUGCAGCAUCCCCAGGCAAAAGGGACGUCAGUACGAAUAAUGUACCGAGUAUUUAAGGCACAUAAAUUAAUACAUAAGAGACAUGGAAGAAAUAUAUAGCACAUGACUCAACCUGUAAGUCUGAAUAACUUUAUAAAUCAUAAAUUACUUUUAGCGUCAUACAUAUGUGUAUGAAUGUCUUGUCGUGCAUAGGUACAUGUUUCAUAAUAUCAUCAGCCUCUGAGGGCAUCCCAUCAUAUCAUAUCAGCCACUGUGGUCAAAAUCAUCAUCGUAUACCAGUUCAUCAGGUGGUGGUGCAUAUAUAACGCGUUAACCUUUCCCAUAUCCCAUACACAUACAUAUAUAAUGCCGUUUGAAUCAUAUUUCAGCCAAUAGGGGCAACAUCAUCAUCAUAUACCAGCUUAUCAGGUGGUGGAGCGUAUAUAACGCCGUAACCUUUUCCCAUAUCCCAUAUACAUAUAUUUACAUAUAAACGCGUAUAUAACGCCAUCUGGUCAUGGGUCAAUGCACAUGUAUGAAAUGCAUGAAAAAUACAUAAUAAUCUCAAUAUUCUUUCCAGAUAAAUUUUUCCAAUUGCGUAUUAUUCUGAGACCCAUGAGCAGAAGAUAAUAAUAUGUUUCAUGGGGAAUCAAGAAUAUAGACACCCCUACUAUUUCUAUGAAUAGAGUAAUUUAUGGAAACUGUGAGUUUGCUCGUUUCUUUAGUAUCAUAUGGACAAUGCCAAAAGAAUGAAGGGAGGGCCUUAACAUACCUAUUCCUGGAAUUAUUUGAACGGAAUGAAGCUUCUGCUUCCGUGAAAUAUGUUGAACGAAAUUCUGACUGAAUCCCUUGAAAUUGAGAGUAAAACGUUUCUGGUUCUUUGAGUUUUAGAAGGAAUAACGUUUGGAUUCCUUAUGAUUCACAUUGGAUUUGAAUGUUGGACAAAAUGAUCUGCUUCUAACGUUUUUGGUUUGAAUCCAAAGUCAGAAUGUGGUUUCCUAAUGAAUGGCUUACUAAGUUUCCAAAAAAAUGAUC